AGUAAUUUUGUGUUAAUGAAUGGAAACUUGAAUCAAACAGUUUGAAGACAAACUAUAAAAAUUCACUGGAGGGAGGGGGUGCGCUUGGCUGGCUCAGUUGGCAGAGUGUGUGGAUCCUGAUCUCAGGGUUGUGGGUUUGAGCCCCACUUUGGGUGUGGAGAGUGCUUAAAAAUAAAAUCUUUAGGAAAAAAAACCCACUGGGAACGAAAGAAGAAAAUAGAUAAAACAGAAUGGAAGAAAUGAUAAAUACAGAGGAUAAAUAUCCAAAGUUAGUAAGGCACUAUGUCUCUACUGCAGAUUACAGAGGACCACAAAUUCUUUGUCAUUCUUUCCAUUAAGAAAAGGUCUCUAUUUCUUUCCAUCAAGAAAUGGACUCUAUUUCUCCCCUUGAUUCUAAGCUGAUCUUGUGACUUGUUUGAGACCAAUAAAAUGUGAAUAAAGCAAAUGCUGUGCCAGCUCUGGAAUUAGCCUUUGGGAGGCCGGUGUCUCCCACCCUCAGAAGGCAGCCAUACACUCUCAAGAGUGCAGGGCACUCUGUGGGAAAAGGGUGAUGUGGGGGAGAACUAAGCCCCAGCCAACACUGAACCAAGGACCCAAAUUUGGGGGAAAGGCUUUCUUGGAUCUCCCAGUUUAGCCUUCAAAUGCAGCCACAGGAGUGAUUCUGAGUGAGAUCACUAGAAGAACUUCCAAAUCAAACCAUAAAAUCAUGAAAAAUAAUAAACCAUUGAUGGUUUAAGCCACUAAGUGCUGGGUGGUCUGUUCCACAACAGCAGAUAACUGAUGUCACAAAACAGAUCUAAAACAACACGAUACUGCCAAAAUAUAUGGACAAAGCUGGACCCCGCAGCAAAAGACACCUGUAUCCUAAGUCCUUGCUAGAAAAUAUUCUUAGACUGUCUGAAAACCCAGCUUGUUUCAAAAGCCUGGUUGAAAGUAAUAGCCUUUCUAUGUCUGAAAUUACUUUCUAUUAUUUACUUACUCGAAAAAAUAUUCUAAAUUCUAUCCCAGGAUUAAGUCAGGCAUGGAAAUUUUAGUAUCACAUUUUCGUAUUUUACAAUUUUGUAUCUACUUUAAGAUGCUUUAAGAAAAUUCCACCCAUGGGCGCCUGGGUGGCUCAGUCGGUUAAGCGUCCGACUUCAGCUCAGGUC
Molecule: long non-coding RNA, 1148 nt
Organism: Leopardus geoffroyi (Geoffroy's cat)
Lineage: Eukaryota; Metazoa; Chordata; Mammalia; Carnivora; Felidae
Exons: 3
Source: RefSeq, a predicted model, not a curated record